This 1071-nucleotide long non-coding RNA is filed under the name Anser cygnoides (Swan goose). RNAcentral describes it as "lncRNA (ENSACDG00005007160.1)". Lineage: Eukaryota; Metazoa; Chordata; Aves; Anseriformes; Anatidae. The record is from RNAcentral.
UCCCCGCCCCCGCUGUCCCCAUCGCUGCCCGGGCUCUUCGCUUUUUUUUUCUUUCUUCCUUUUUUUGACGUCCCCGUGAUGUCCCCACGGCGAUUUCGGUCCCCACGACGUCCCCACGCCGCCCGCGACGGCCCCGUGACGCCCGUGGUACCCGCGACGUCCCCGUGUCCCCAAAUUGUCCCCGUGUCCCCCCACCCCGUGUUUUCAUGUCUCUGUGGCCCUACGUUGUCCCCGUGUCCCCAAUUUGUCCCCAUCUCCUCCGUGUCCCCGUGUCUUGGUGUCCCCUCGUUGUCCCCGUGUCCCCUCGGUGUCCCCGUGUCCCUCCCGUAUCUCGGUGUCCCCAUGGUGUCCCCAUGUCUUGGUGUCCCCGUGUCCCACCUUGUCCCCAUGUCCCCUCGUUGUCCCCACCUUGUCCCCGUGUCCCCUCGAUCUCCCCACGUCUUGGUGUCCCCGCGUCCUUCCCACAUCUCUGCGCCCCCCCCGGUGUCCCCGCAUCCCUCCCACGUCUUGGUGUACCCUCGUUGUCCCCGUGUCCCCUCAUUGUCCCCACAUCUUGGUGUCCCCGUGUCCUUCCUACAUCCCCGUGUCCCCACCUUGUCCCCGUGUCCCCCCCUUGUCCCCGUGUCCCCUCGGUGUCCCCACGUCUUGGUGUCCCCGUGUCCUUCCCACAUCUUCGGCGCCCCCCCCCGGUGUCCCCGCGUCCCUCCCACGUCUUGGUGUCCCCACCUUGUCCCCGUGUCCCCUCGUUGUCCCCAUGUCUCGGUGUCCCCUCCCCUUGUCCCCUCGUUGUCCUCAUGUCUCGGUGUCCCCACAUUGUCCCUACGGUAUCCCCGUGUCCCACCUUGUCCCUGUGUCCCCUCGUUGUCCCCACGUCUUGGUGUCCCCAUGUCCCUCCCACAUCUUGGCGCCCCCCCGGUGUCCCCGUGUCCCCCCCGGUGUCCCCGUGUCCCCACCUUGUCCCCGUGUCCCCGUGACCCCUCAUUGUCCCCACGUCUUGGUGUCCCCGUGUCCCUCCCACACCUCGGCGCCCCCCCCGGUGUCCCUGCGUCCCUCCCGCGUCUCGGUGUCCCC